This 429-nucleotide ribosomal RNA is filed under the name uncultured Actinomycetes bacterium. Its description in RNAcentral is "bacterial SSU rRNA". It matches the Rfam family "Bacterial small subunit ribosomal RNA", at positions 8 to 430 of the family's 1533-position model. Lineage: Bacteria; Bacillati; Actinomycetota; Actinomycetes. The record is from RNAcentral.
AGAGUUUGAUCCUGGCUCAGGACGAACGCUGGCGGCGUGCUUAACACAUGCAAGUGGAGCGACGAACCAGGCUUCGGCCUGGGGCAGAGCCGCGAACGGGUGAGUAACACGUGGGUAACCUGCCUCGAUGACCGGGACAACCCGAGGAAACCCGGGCUAAUACCGGAUGUGCUCUCCCCGCACCAGCGGGGAAUGGAAAGGAAGCUUCGGCCUCCGCAUCGAGAUGGGCCCGCGGCCCAUUAGCUUGUUGGUGAGGUAACGGCUCACCAAGGCUGCGAUGGGUAGCUGGUCUGAGAGGACGAUCAGCCACACUGGGACUGAGACACGGCCCAGACUCCUACGGGAGGCAGCAGUGGGGAAUCUUGCGCAAUGCGCGAAAGCGUGACGCAGCAACGCCGCGUGGGGGAAGAAGGCCUUCGGGUUGUAAAC